Non-coding RNA from Carcharodon carcharias (great white shark), 82 nucleotides. The record is from the annotation of a RefSeq genome assembly. NCBI's taxonomy places the organism in Eukaryota, Metazoa, Chordata, Chondrichthyes, Lamniformes, Lamnidae.
GUAGUCAUGGCCGAGUGCUUAAGGCGGUGGAUUUGGAAUCUAUUGGGGCUACCCCGCGCAGGUUCAAAUCCUGCUGAAUGCG